Molecule: long non-coding RNA, 209 nt
Filed under: Fukomys damarensis (Damara mole-rat)
Lineage: Eukaryota; Metazoa; Chordata; Mammalia; Rodentia; Bathyergidae
Description: lncRNA (ENSFDAG00000029714.1)
Source: RNAcentral
CUUAACUUGACUAUUUCAUGCAUCAUUGUAUUCUCUGAAACAACAGAUUACAUCUUAAUCCUGCUCACAUUCUUAAGAUGAGGACUCCAUUUGGGAGGAGAACCUUCCACGGAAAAGUCUGGACCACACAUGUCCAACCAGUCCUUUGCCAUGUGCUUCAUGGAGCACGCAACCAUUGGCCAAUGUUAUUGACAUUACUGCUUGGUUAA